RNAcentral lists this ribosomal RNA (433 nucleotides) under uncultured bacterium. Its description in RNAcentral is "partial 16S ribosomal RNA". It matches the Rfam family "Bacterial small subunit ribosomal RNA", at positions 29 to 507 of the family's 1533-position model. The record is from RNAcentral.
AACGAACGCUGGCGGCAUGCCUAACACAUGCAAGUCGAACGAGACCUUCGGGUCUAGUGGCGCACGGGUGCGUAACGCGUGGGAACCUGCCCUUAGGUUCGGAAUAACUCCCCGAAAGGGGUGCUAAUACCGGAUAAUGUCUUCGGACCAAAGAUUUAUCGCCUUUGGAUGGGCCCGCGUUGGAUUAGCUUGUUGGUAGGGUAAAAGCCUACCAAGGCGACGAUCCAUAGCUGGUCUGAGAGGAUGAUAAGCCACACUGGGACUGAGACACGGCCGAGAAUAGUACGGGAGGGAGCAGUGGGGAAUAUUGGAAAAUGGGCGAAAGCCUGAUCAAGCAAUGCCGCGUGAGUGAUGAAGGCCUUAGGGUUGUAAAGCUCUUUUAACCGGGAUGAUAAUGACAGUACCGGGAGAAUAAGCACCGGCUAACUCCGUG